CACGUAGUUAGCCGGAGCUUCCUCCUAAGGUACCGUCAUUAUCGUCCCUUAAGACAGAGGUUUACAAUCCGAAAACCUUCUUCCCUCACGCGGCAUCGCUGCAUCAGAGUUUCCUCCAUUGUGCAAUAUUCCCCACUGCUGCCUCCCGUAGGAGUCUGGGCCGUGUCUCAGCCCCAAUGUGGCCGUUCUACCUCUCAGUACGGCUACUGAUCGUCGCCUUGGUGAGCCGUUACCUCACCAACAAGCUAAUCAGACGCGAGCCCAUCUUUAAGCGAUAAAUCUUUGAUACACAAACCAUGCGGUUCGUGUAUGUUAUGCGGUAUUAGCGGUCGUUUCCGACCGUUAUCCCACUCUUAAAGGCAGGUUGCUCACGUGUUACUCACCCGUCGCCACUAACUUAAGAGAGCAAGCCCUCUCAAGUCCGUUCGACUUGCAUGUGUUAAGCGUGCCGCCAGCGUUCGUCCUGAGCCAGACGUCAAACUCU
RNAcentral lists this ribosomal RNA (484 nucleotides) under uncultured Eubacteriales bacterium. Its description in RNAcentral is "uncultured Clostridiales bacterium partial 16S ribosomal RNA". The record is from RNAcentral. Lineage: Bacteria; Bacillati; Bacillota; Clostridia; Eubacteriales.